UCCGAGUUGACCCCGGCAGUCUCCUACGAGUCCCCGGCAUUACCCGCUGGCAACAUAGGACAAGGGUUGCGCUCGUUGCGGGACUUAACCCAACAUCUCACGACACGAGCUGACGACAGCCAUGCACCACCUGUACACCGACAAAAAGGGGCACCAUCUCUGGCGCUUUCCGGCGUAUGUCAAACCCAGGUAAGGUUCUUCGCGUUGCAUCGAAUUAAACCACAUGCUCCACCGCUUGUGCGGGCCCCCGUCAAUUCCUUUGAGUUUCACCCUUGCGAGCGUACUCCCCAGGCGGGGCACUUAAUGCGUUAGCGCCGGCACCCAGGGGGUCGCUCCCCCAGGCACCUAGUGCCCAUCGUUUACGGCGUGGACUAC
RNAcentral lists this unclassified non-coding RNA (375 nucleotides) under uncultured bacterium. Its description in RNAcentral is "contains 16S-23S intergenic spacer region". The record is from RNAcentral.